UACAGAGGGUGCGAGCGUUAAUCGGAGUUACUGGGCGUAAAGGGCGCGUAGGCGGUUGUGUGUGUGUGAUGUGAAAGCCCCGGGCUUAACCUGGGAAGUGCAUCGCAAACUACACAACUUGAGUAGAUGAGAGGGUGGCGGAAUUUCCGGUGUAGCGGUGAAAUGCGUAGAGAUCGGAAGGAACGUCAAUGGCGAAGGCAGCCACCUGGCAUCAUACUGACGCUGAGGCGCGAAAGCGUGGGGAGCGAACAGG
This 253-nucleotide ribosomal RNA is filed under the name uncultured Aquicella sp. RNAcentral's name for it is "partial 16S ribosomal RNA". It matches the Rfam family "Bacterial small subunit ribosomal RNA", at positions 524 to 776 of the family's 1533-position model. The record is from RNAcentral. Lineage: Bacteria; Pseudomonadati; Pseudomonadota; Gammaproteobacteria; Legionellales; Coxiellaceae.